GAGGAGCCCGCGGCUGAUUAGCUAGUUGGUGAGGUAAUGGCUCACCAAGGCAACGAUCAGUAGCCGGUCUGAGAGGACGGUCGGCCACACUGGAACUGAGACACGGUCCAGACUCCUACGGGAGGCAGCAGUGGGGAAUUUUUGGCAAUGGGGGAAACCCUGACCAAGCAACGCCGCGUGGGUGAUGAAGUCUCUUGGGACGUAAAACCCUUUCGACGGGGAAGAAACCGCAAGGUUGACGGUACCCGUAGAAGAAGCCCCGGCUAACUCCGUGCCAGCAGCCGCGGUAAUACGGGGGGGGCAAGCGUUGUUCGGAAUUACUGGGCGUAAAGGGCGCGUAGGCGGUUCGUUAAGUCGGAUGUGAAAACUCUGGGCUCAACCCAGAGCCUGCAUCCGAAACUGGCGAGCUAGAGUUCUGGAGGGGGUAGCGGAAUUCCUGGUGUAGCGGUGAAAUGCGUAGAUAUCAGGAGG
Molecule: ribosomal RNA, 471 nt
Filed under: uncultured Acidobacteriota bacterium
Lineage: Bacteria; Pseudomonadati; Acidobacteriota
Description: bacterial SSU rRNA
Rfam family: Bacterial small subunit ribosomal RNA
Source: RNAcentral